RNAcentral lists this transfer RNA (72 nucleotides) under Heterocephalus glaber (naked mole-rat). It matches the Rfam family "tRNA". Rfam says of the family: Transfer RNA (tRNA) molecules are approximately 80 nucleotides in length. Lineage: Eukaryota; Metazoa; Chordata; Mammalia; Rodentia; Bathyergidae. The record is from Rfam by way of RNAcentral.
GGGCUUGUAGUGCAGGGGUAGGGUGUUUGACUAUAGAUCAAGGGGUCCCUGGUUCAAAUCCAGGUGCCCCCU